RNAcentral lists this ribosomal RNA (600 nucleotides) under Quambalaria cyanescens. RNAcentral describes it as "eukaryotic LSU rRNA". It matches the Rfam family "Eukaryotic large subunit ribosomal RNA", at positions 62 to 649 of the family's 3401-position model. Lineage: Eukaryota; Fungi; Basidiomycota; Exobasidiomycetes; Microstromatales; Quambalariaceae. The record is from RNAcentral.
AAACUAACAAGGAUUCCCCUAGUAACGGCGAGUGAAGCGGGAAGAGCUCAAAUUUGAAAGCUGGCACCUUCGGUGUCCGCGUUGUAAUCUCGAGAAGUGUUUUCCGUGCUGGACCAUGUACAAGUUCCUUGGAAUAGGACGUCAUAGAGGGUGAAAAUCCCGUACUUGACAUGGACGCCCAGUGCUUUGUGAUACACUCUCCACGAGUCGAGUUGUUUGGGAAUGCAGCUCAAAAUGGGUGGUAAAUUCCAUCUAAAGCUAAAUAUUGGGGAGAGACCGAUAGCGAACAAGUACCGUGAGGGAAAGAUGAAAAGCACUUUGGAAAGAGAGUUAAACAGUACGUGAAAUUGUCGAAAGGGAAGCGCUUGAAGUUAGACAUGCUUGCCGGGAUUCAGCCUUGCUUUUGCUUGGUGCAUUUCCCGGUGUGCAGGCCAGCAUCAGUUUUGUUUGCCGGAUAAGGGUGAGAGGAAUGUGGCCCCUCGGGGUGUUAUAGCCUCUCACUGGAUACGGCGGAUGGGACUGAGGACCGCAGUGUGCCUUUAUGGCGGGCCUUCGGGCACCUUCACACUUAGGAUGCUGGCGUAAUGGCUUUAAGCGACC